This 58-nucleotide transfer RNA is filed under the name Salmo salar (Atlantic salmon). It matches the Rfam family "tRNA", at positions 8 to 63 of the family's 71-position model. From Rfam's summary of the family: Transfer RNA (tRNA) molecules are approximately 80 nucleotides in length. Lineage: Eukaryota; Metazoa; Chordata; Actinopteri; Salmoniformes; Salmonidae. The record is from Rfam by way of RNAcentral. RNAcentral also lists the same sequence under 1 other name.
UGGUUUAGUUGGUAGAGCAUGGUGUUUGCAACGCCAGGGUUGUGGGUUCGAUUCCCAC